This 483-nucleotide ribosomal RNA is filed under the name uncultured Chlorophyta. RNAcentral's name for it is "partial 16S ribosomal RNA". It matches the Rfam family "Bacterial small subunit ribosomal RNA", at positions 977 to 1445 of the family's 1533-position model. Lineage: Eukaryota; Viridiplantae; Chlorophyta. The record is from RNAcentral.
GGGNUNNACAUGCCACUUUUUNNNNNAANGGGAAAGUNAUCACCUUCUCAUUUUUUNNGACGGUGAAGGGUGGACACAGGUGGUGCAUGGCUGUCGUCAGCUCGUGUCUUGAGAUGUUGGGUUAAGUCCCGCAACGAGCGCAACCCUUGUUUUGAGUUGCCAUUUUAGGGAAACUCAAAAGACUGCCGGUGAUAAGCCGGAGGAAGGUGAGGAUGACGUCAAGUCAGCAUGCCCCUUACGUCCUGGGCGACACACGUGCUACAAUGGCCGGGACAAAGAGAUGCAAUCCCGCGAGGGUUAGCCAACCUCAAAAACCCGGUCUCAGUUCGGAUUGCAGGCUGCAACUCGCCUGCAUGAAGUCGGAAUCGCUAGUAAUCGCUGGUCAGCCAUACAGCGGUGAAUACGUUCCCGGGCCUUGUACACACCGCCCGUCACACCAUGGGAGCUGGCUAUGCCCAAAGUCGUUACCCCAACCAAUUUUNG